This 481-nucleotide ribosomal RNA is filed under the name uncultured bacterium. RNAcentral describes it as "partial 16S ribosomal RNA". It matches the Rfam family "Bacterial small subunit ribosomal RNA", at positions 28 to 523 of the family's 1533-position model. The record is from RNAcentral.
GACGAACGCUGGCGGCGUGCUUAACACAUGCAAGUCGAGCGAUGAAGUUUCUUCGGAAAUGGAUUAGCGGUGAACGGGUGAGGAACACGUGAAGAAUCUGCCCUCCACUUUGGGAUAACACCGGGAAACCGGUGCUAAUACCGAAUAUUGAAACAUAAGUGGCAUCACUGAGUUUUGAAAGAAUUUCGGUGGAGGAUGACUUCGCGGCCUAUCAGCUAGUUGGUGAGGUAAUGGCUCACCAAGGCAACGACGGGUAGCCGGCCUGAGAGGGCGACCGGCCACACUGGGACUGAGACACGGCCCAGACUCCUACGGGAGGCAGCAGUGGGGAAUAUUGGGCAAUGGAGGAAACUCUGACCCAGCGACGCCGCGUGCGGGAUGAAGGCCUUCGGGUUGUAAACCGCUUUCAGUAGGGAAGAAGCGAAAGUGACGGUACCUACAAAAGAAGCACCGGCUAACUAUGUGCCAGCCGCCGCCGUAA